CGCCGCGGUUAUACGAGGGGCUCAAGUUGAUACUUCUCGGCGUAAAGGGUGGUUAAGAAACCUCAAACUAAAGCCAAACAUCUUCAAAGCUGUCAUACGCACCCGAAGAAAUGAAGACCUAUCACGAAAGUAGCUUUAAAAAUUCUGACCCCACGAAAGCUAGGACA
RNAcentral lists this ribosomal RNA (167 nucleotides) under Eleotris fusca (dusky sleeper). RNAcentral describes it as "partial 12S ribosomal RNA". Lineage: Eukaryota; Metazoa; Chordata; Actinopteri; Gobiiformes; Eleotridae. The record is from RNAcentral.